RNAcentral lists this ribosomal RNA (685 nucleotides) under SAR324 cluster bacterium. RNAcentral describes it as "bacterial SSU rRNA". It matches the Rfam family "Bacterial small subunit ribosomal RNA", at positions 1 to 704 of the family's 1533-position model. The record is from RNAcentral. Lineage: Bacteria; Deltaproteobacteria.
UAACUUGAGAGUUUGAUCCUGGCUCAGGACGAACGCUGGCGGCAUGCCUAACACAUGCAAGUCGAACGAGAAAGUUCCUUCGGGAGCAAUUAAAGUGGCGCACGGGUGAGUAACGCGUAGACAAUCUGCCCUUCAGUCUGGGACAACUUUUCGAAAGGAGAGCUAAUACCGGAUGACAAUGUAACACAUAAGUGUCACAUUUGAAAGCUUUAUGUGCUGAAGGAGGGGUCUGCGUCCCAUUAGCUAGUUGGUAAGGUAAAGGCUUACCAAGGCAACGAUGGGUAGCGGGUUUGAGAGGACGAUCCGCCACACUGGAACUGAGACACGGUCCAGACUCCUACGGGAGGCAGCAGUGGGGAAUAUUGCACAAUGGAGGCAACUCUGAUGCAGCAAUGUCGCGUGAGUGAAGAAGGCCCUUGGGUCGUAAAGCUCUUUUAUGGGGGAAGAUGAUGACGGUACCCCAAGAAUAAGCACCGGCUAACUAUGUGCCAGCAGCCGCGGUAAUACAUAGGGUGCGAGCGUUGUUCGGAAUUACUGGGCGUAAAGGGCGCGCAGGCGGAAUAGUAAGUCGGAGGUGAAAGCCCGGGGCUCAACCCCGGAGGGUCUUUCGAAACUGCUAAUCUAGAGAGGGUCAGGGGCCGGCAGAAUUCCUGGUGUAGAGGUGAAAUUCGUAGAUAUCAGGAGG